Molecule: long non-coding RNA, 3294 nt
Organism: Acinonyx jubatus (cheetah)
Lineage: Eukaryota; Metazoa; Chordata; Mammalia; Carnivora; Felidae
Exons: 3
Source: RefSeq, a predicted model, not a curated record
GCAACCGCAGAGGAUACAAUAUAAUGGUGAGUUUUCGAUGAAGGACCACAGUAGUUAAGAGGAGUGGUGGGAAGAAGGGAUGGAGAACGACUCUAAAGUAAACGGACGUGGCAAAUGGCAGGGAGCUGAGUAUAGCAAUCUUAGGAGAAUAAUCCUUUUCCUUUUUUGCUUAAGAAAUACUGAUGAGAUAUAUCUUGUGUAUUUUUGGUUGGAAAACAAAAUGGGUUUCUUUCCGUGGUAUGUUUAUGAUCUCAUUCCAGCUACAUCCAAAAACUAUUUGACCCCCAUAUAAGAAAUCACCAACCAGGAAAAGGGGGACAAAAUGUAUCUAUUGGUCCCAGCUUUAAAACUGUGCAAUUUGUAAGGUGAAGGGGUUGGAACAGAUAAUCUGUAAAGUCUCUCCUGACACUGGGAGUCUACGGUUUCUUGAAAAAAAACAAACCCUUCUCUUUGAUUUCUUGCAGCACUGAGUUCCCUUCCCAUGUGUGUUUUCUUGCUACACAUCUUGUUAUUUGCCAUUCUUUGUUUAAGUAUGGUUGUCUCCAGGGGCACCUGGGUGGCUCAAUCAGUUAAGCGUCUGACUUCAGCUCAGGUCAUUAUCUCACAGUUCAUGGGUUGGGGCCCCAUGUCGGGCUCUGUGCCGACAGCUCAGAGCCCGGAGCCUGCUUCGGAUUCUGUGUCCCCCUCUCUCUCUGCUCCCCUCCUUGCUCACACUCUGUCUCUCUCUCUCUCAAAAAUAAACAUUAAAAGAAAAAUUAUAAAAAUUUUUUUUAAAGUAUGGUUUUUCCCACUGGACCAGGAGCCCUCCCAGGUCAGGACUGUGUUUUGUUCCCCUUUGUGCCAUCCUAACACAGUGCCUGGCACGUAACAGAAGCUCAAUGAAUAUUGCCGAAUGAUGAGGUUGGAGAUGCUGAAGACAGGAGAUCAAGAGGUUGGGCUCGCGAAUGAAACAGAACACUCCUGUACAUGGAAAGGACUAUUACUGGGAGAAAAAGAUUUCAAACAAGCUGUCUGAAAACGUUGUUCAGGGUCCGUUCUCAUGUCACGGGAGGUUGGUGAAUAAGCUUACAUAACUGUUGGAUUUACUUCCCUUUGUGAAAAGUUAAUUUCUUCAAUAGGAUCAUUCAAGUGGGGAAUGUUGUUGGAGGAUGCUACCCAUUUGGUAACAGCCAGCAUGACAUCUCAUGCAUCAGAGUCCCUGGGUCUCAUCUCCUUCAGGCCUGGAGAGGAUCCUAGACAGGUCUCCAUCCCACUAUCAUAUGUGUUGAGGAGCCACAUCAGAUGCCUUCCUGUUGGACACCCACUAUGGACUCUCCAUCACGAACCACUCCUGUUAGUGCCCAGAGACUUUGUAUGGCCUGUCUGGCUUGUCCAAGGCGACUACCUUUCCAUCAGCUUGGGUCCCUUUUAAGCCCCAUGAGAAAGAGCGGGACCCCAGACAUCCAGAGGACUGCUGGUGGCAUGAACUUUCCCCCUCCACCGUGUCUGUUACGUCUGUUGACGUUACAUGGCAACAGCUCAGAAUUUCCCUCUUGUGGAAAUACAGUCCUGUUACAUACUUGUCUGUCGGCAUCACGCGAUACUUUUUCCUGUAUUGUAGAUAUUUACUGCUGCUGGACAUCUUCCGUUUGCCUCUGGAGAUGCACUCUCUACUCUUCUCCACUCUGCUUUCCUCCACAGAGGCUGGUCGGUGUGAGCUUCCUGUUGGGUUUGUCUGACGGGAAGCCCCAGCAUGAGGCUGGAGAGAGUGGGGAGGGAGGUCAGGGCACGUAUGUUCUCCAGAGAGCCCUUCUCUCUGAGUUCCUGUAAUCACUCCCUCUUCCUGUUCCUUCCCAAGGGAGGCAGUGACAGUCUCUCGGUUACCAGCCCUCUCAGGAUACCCCACAUAGCUCUUAUUUCCCUGUACCCUGCUUAUGUCUUGGUAACUAGUGCCUUUGUUAAGCCUCUGCUGGAACCCUGCUGCAGACUGUAUGUUCCAGAGGUGGUUAAAACGACAUCUCCCAUCCCAUAUGCUCUUCUUAACAAUGUGACUUUGAGGGGCGCUUGGGUGGCUCAGUCGGUUGAGCGUCCGACUUCGGCUCAGGUCAGGACCUCGCGGUCUGUGAGUUCGAGCCCCGCGUUGGGCUCUGUGCUGACAGCUCAGAGCCUGGAGCCUGCUUCGGAUUCUGUGUCUCCCUCUCUCUCUGCCCCUCCCCCGCUCACACUCUGUCUCUCUCUCUCUCCUUCAAAAAUAAACAUGAAAAACAAAAACAAAAACAGUGUGACUUUGACAAUUCUCCUUCAAGAGGAAGCGACACUACACUGUGACUUCUGAAUUAGUCCUAAAAGAUGAUACAGCUUCUGCUUGAUCCUCUUGGGACACUCGCCUUUGGAGCCCUGGACUGUCAUGAAAAUUGUCCCCGCCAGGCUGUGAGGAAGCCCAAGUUGCAGAAAGACAACAGGGGGAUGCCCUGAGAGAGAGAUUCCUGGCCAGUCUCCGCUGCUUCUGCUACCCCUGUCUGACUGCGGGAGAGACUGGAUUGGAACCAGAAUUGUCCAGCUGGGUCCCUCCUGAUUCCUAGCUCACAGAUACUCUGAAAGAUACUGAAAUAGCAGCAGUAGAUAAGCAGGACAGACCCUGACUGAUAGGUUUCAUACACACCUCUCCCCUGUGAGCCAUGAGUUUCCUCUGGCAGCACACCUUAUUACAUUUCCUGGAGCGGCCAUCACACGGCAGUUCAUUCAUGACUAUGAAUAUUUGUGAAUGGGUCCAAGGGAUGUGGCUGAUUGGAGUUUGGGUCCUCAAGGAAGACUUGAGUGCUCGGCUCACUUGAUAUAGGAAAAUGGAGAACGUUGCAAUUUUUUUUUUUAAUGUUUAUCUUUGAGAGCGAGAGCGAGAGAGAGAGAGAGAGAGAGACAGAGCACGAGUUGGGGAGGGGCAGAGAGAAAGGCAGACACAGAAUUCGAAGCAGGCCCCAGGCUCCGAGCUGUCAGCAGAGACCUGAUUCGGGGCUCGAACUUAUGAACCGUGAGAUCACGACCUGAGCCAAAGCCAGAUGCUUAACCAGCUGAGCCCCGAGGCACCUCGAGCAUUGCAUUGUUGACCACCUGAAGGCAGAUGUGUCGAUUCUAUCUCCUAUUUGCAAUCCUGGAACCCCAGUGACCGAAAGCAGAUGUCCCUCGGAUUUAAGAUACUCUUUGAAAACAGAAUCUGCAUGAAGAAGUAGAACACUAGUUGUGCCAAAAUGAGAUUGCGGACUUUCCCCAAGGCUUAUCUAAAGCCCUCACUAAAUGCAGCUUCCCUGUUUUCUCCCA